Molecule: ribosomal RNA, 253 nt
Filed under: uncultured bacterium
Lineage: Bacteria
Description: partial 16S ribosomal RNA
Rfam family: Bacterial small subunit ribosomal RNA
Source: RNAcentral
UACGUAGGGUGCAAGCGUUGUCCGGAAUUAUUGGGCGUAAAGAGCUUGUAGGCGGUUUGUCGCGUCUGCUGUGAAAUUUCGGGGCUCAACCCCGAACUUGCAGUGGGUACGGGCAGACUAGAGUGUGGUAGGGGAGACUGGAAUUCCUGGUGUAGCGGUGAAAUGCGCAGAUAUCAGGAAGAACACCAAUGGCGAAAGCAGCUUUCUGGGACGGUACUGACGCUGAGACGCGAAAGCGUGGGGAGCGAACAGG